Molecule: ribosomal RNA, 384 nt
Filed under: uncultured bacterium
Lineage: Bacteria
Description: bacterial SSU rRNA
Rfam family: Bacterial small subunit ribosomal RNA
Source: RNAcentral
AUUGAACGCUGGCGGCAUGCCUUACACAUGCAAGUCGAACGGUAACGGGCCUUCGGGCGCCGACGAGUGGCGAACGGGUGAGUAAUGCAUCGGAACGUACCUUUCAGUGGGGGAUAACGUAGCGAAAGUUACGCUAAUACCGCAUAUUCUGUGAGCAGGAAAGCAGGGGAUCGCAAGACCUUGCGCUGAUUGAGCGGCCGAUGUCAGAUUAGCUAGUUGGUGAGGUAAAGGCUCACCAAGGCGACGAUCUGUAGCGGGUCUGAGAGGAUGAUCCGCCACACUGGAACUGAGACACGGUCCAGACUCCUACGGGAGGCAGCAGUGGGGAAUUUUGGACAAUGGGGGCAACCCUGAUCCAGCCAUGCCGCGUGAGUGAAGAAGGCC